AUUGAACGCUGGCGGCAUGCCUUACACAUGCAAGUCGAACGGUAACAGCACUUCGGUGGCUGACGAGUGGCGAACGGGUGAGUAAUACAUCGGAACGUGCCCAGUAGUGGGGGAUAACUACUCGAAAGAGUGGCUAAUACCGCAUGAGAUCUCUGGAUGAAAGCGGGGGACCGUAAGGCCUCGCGCUACUGGAGCGGCCGAUAUCAGAUUAGGUAGUUGGUAGGGUAAAGGCCUACCAAGCCAACGAUCUGUAGCUGGUCUGAGAGGACGACCAGCCACACUGGGACUGAGACACGGCCCAGACUCCUACGGGAGGCAGCAGUGGGGAAUUUUGGACAAUGGGCGCAAGCCUGAUCCAGCAAUGCCGCGUGCAGGACGAAGGCCUUCGGGUUGUAAACUGCUUUGUACGGAACGAAAAGACCUCUGGUUAAUACCUGGGGUCGAUGACGGUACCGUAAGAAUAAGCACCGGCUAACUACGUGCCAGCAGCCGCGGU
Molecule: ribosomal RNA, 496 nt
Filed under: uncultured bacterium
Lineage: Bacteria
Description: bacterial SSU rRNA
Rfam family: Bacterial small subunit ribosomal RNA
Source: RNAcentral